CAGUAGCCGCGGUAAAACAGAGGGUGCAAGCGUUAAUCGGAAUUACUGGGCGUAAAGCGCGCGUAGGUGGUUUGUUAAGUUGGAUGUGAAAGCCCCGGGCUCAACCUGGGAACUGCAUCCAAAACUGGCAAGCUAGAGUACGGUAGAGGGUGGUGGAAUUUCCUGUGUAGCGGUGAAAUGCGUAGAUAUAGGAAGGAACACCAGUGGCGAAGGCGACCACCUGGACUGAUACUGACACUGAGGUGCGAAAGCGUGGGGAGCAAACAGGAUUAGAGACCCGCGUAGUCCCUGUCUCUUAUAA
Molecule: ribosomal RNA, 301 nt
Filed under: uncultured bacterium
Lineage: Bacteria
Description: partial 16S ribosomal RNA
Rfam family: Bacterial small subunit ribosomal RNA
Source: RNAcentral